AAGAGGAAAUUAUUUUUAUUUUUCCUUCUACUCGUCUUCCAUCUCUCCGCGAACCCACUUUCUUCAAACCCUUAUCUGAGAGAAUGUUGCUGAAGUGAGAAAUCGAGAUUAGCGGUUACCGAUUCCGCUCCAUGAUGAACACAUUCAUUUGGAUCUUUAACGGUAGUAAAUAAUGUGCCAAAACGUGAUUGGGCUCAACCGGCCGAGAGGCUUUGGUGGUUGCCCUCAUCCUUGGUGAUCUUAACUGGCUGGUUUCUUUAGGCCUUUCAUUGCAACUUAGGUAAAGCUCAUUGCAAGACUUUUGUCCAUUGUGGUGGUUCACUUCUAUCCAUCUUGGUUAUAUUUGCGGGCUGGGAGUUUGGGGCAAACUUGACUUGCACGCAACAUCAAUGUGAACCAAAACUCUUUCAGAGGAGAGGAGUUUGGUGCCUAUUCAGUACAAUAUACCACCAUCAGUUGCUGCUUGUGCUGUCCCCCUCGGGCGUGGAAUUUCAUCUUGAUAGACAAGUGUCUUAUCUGCAUAAAAUACAAAAGUGAUGUUUCCAAGUUGACAAUUGACGCUUGAGAGCACCUGCUCGUGUUGUGUGUUCAACUCAUUGCCUUGUGCUUUGAUGAAGCAUGCAUGGAGGGACUAAGCUCUAUGGAUCAUCUCCCCCAAGGUCUCGAGUUAGAGAGCCAUAGGCUCAAACCCCCACCUUUACGGUCGUCACUUUCACUCAUAUACCAUCAUUAAACCCUAGCUUGCAUGUUAUUUCCUUGAUGACAAGCCUCAGGCCGGCUGAGAGCAUACUGGGCCAUUUUGAACGAAUCUGAACCUUUAAAUAUGUAAUGGAUAUCUAUAGGGCCUGCUAUGUGGAAUGGCUGCUUCUUCUUUCAACCUGAUGACAUGGUCACAUUUCCUCUUAGGAGGUAAACCUUCUGGAGGUAAACCUUUAAAUAUGUGCUGGAAGAUCAUGAAGAAUCAAGGAUUCAAGGUCAAGAGCAGAACAGUUUUGGAGAAAAUUCGCUAAGUCAGGAUUUCCUCGCUGAGGAAAUAUGUGUGUGUUUGGAACAAUUUUUGCAGGCCCUUGCUCGCUAAGGGAGCUACAUUUUAUGCCUAUGAUGAAACAGCAACUUGUUGAGUGAGUUUUUACUCGCUUAUCUAGUGUAACCGCCCAUGCACUAAUAUAAAGGCUUGAAAAAAUAACAGAAUUGGGUAUCUCUUCACAUUUUCCUCCCAUAAACAUAGCAAAUGGGCGGAACAUAAUUAUAAGGGAUCCAAGGGUGAGGUUGGAAGGAUUAAGCUUUGAGGUAUUGGUGGCAACCAUGAGAGACUUGUGACACCUGCUCGAGGCUAUGGAGGCCAUGGACCGUGGAUUCACCACCUUCUCUUGUGUUUCAUCUUUUCCUUUUCCCUUUUGUAUAUGUAUUUUCUAUUUCCAGGAUGUUGUAACUUUCUCUGCAACUUAUUCAAAAUACUCUUUCAUCAAUGUAAUUGGUUUCCUUCACUGUUUGGUUUU
Molecule: long non-coding RNA, 1499 nt
Organism: Lotus japonicus
Lineage: Eukaryota; Viridiplantae; Streptophyta; Magnoliopsida; Fabales; Fabaceae
Exons: 9
Source: RefSeq, a predicted model, not a curated record